UACGAAGGGGGCUAGUGUUGCUCGGAAUCACUGGGCGUAAAGGGUGCGUAGGCGGGUCUUUAAGUCCGGGGUGAAAUCCUGGAGCUCAACUCCAGAACUGCCUUUGAUACUGAAGAUCUUGAGUUCGGGAGAGGUGAGUGGAACUGCGAGUGUAGAGGUGAAAUUCGUAGAUAUUCGCAAGAACACCAGUGGCGAAGGCGGCUCACUGGCACGGUACUGACGCUGAGGUGCGAAAGCGUGGGGAGCAAACAGG
This 253-nucleotide ribosomal RNA is filed under the name uncultured bacterium. RNAcentral describes it as "partial 16S ribosomal RNA". It matches the Rfam family "Bacterial small subunit ribosomal RNA", at positions 524 to 776 of the family's 1533-position model. The record is from RNAcentral.